GGAAGAUUCCUACCCCCAUCUGCCAGAGGACUCUCGAGACUCGAAGUCGAGAGGAUUUUUUAGACCGGAGACUCCAAGAGAUGAACCGGUGGAUCGAAGAACUCUGCCAUGCUCCCCCCGCUUAUGGUGAGGAUAUUUGCACUGACCCUCCCUUUUCUCAAAUGAUCAUGCAGGAACCGAUCCCGCCAAACUUCAAGCUCCCCC
This 204-nucleotide long non-coding RNA is filed under the name Elaeis guineensis (African oil palm). RNAcentral's name for it is "long non-coding RNA (EGUI_LNC051427)". Lineage: Eukaryota; Viridiplantae; Streptophyta; Magnoliopsida; Arecales; Arecaceae. The record is from RNAcentral.